UCCUCAUCAUCAUCACAUUUUCUGCAGUGGCUGUGGUGCUCUACAAGAUUUACAUUAAGAAGUGCAGAACGUCCAGAAAUGAUGUUAAUGAAGAUGUGAUGCUUGAAUCCACAGCAAUUUACGUUAAUGUCAGACCUCCUGGAUGGCAUCACAAAGAAGCUCGCUGAUGAAGAAACACCUGAUGGAGCUGUACAUCAAAUCACCCUUUACUCUUUACUCUGCUUAGUUAUGAAGAUGUUCAAUAUGUAGUAAGUCUCUUUGCAGCUUUAGAAUUUAUUUUCAAACCUUCAGCUUCUCAUUAUUAGCUAAAAUCUCCUGUACUAUGUAUAUUCAGUUCUAUGGUCAUUUUCUCACUUUGUUACACCUGACAGUUUUAUCAUGUCUGUUGCUUUAAUGUGCACAUUGUACCAUGUUAGAAACUGUCCUUUUCUCAUUGCUGUUUUUA
Long non-coding RNA from Toxotes jaculatrix (banded archerfish), 445 nucleotides. RefSeq lists it as uncharacterized. NCBI's taxonomy places the organism in Eukaryota, Metazoa, Chordata, Actinopteri, Toxotidae. The transcript has 3 exons. The record is from RefSeq and is a predicted model, not a curated record.